Molecule: long non-coding RNA, 206 nt
Organism: Oreochromis niloticus (Nile tilapia)
Lineage: Eukaryota; Metazoa; Chordata; Actinopteri; Cichliformes; Cichlidae
Exons: 2
Source: RefSeq, a predicted model, not a curated record
CGUUCCCUCACUGUAACAGGUGGAGGAGAGAGGAGAGGAAGCACAGGUGGAUCCUCUGAGAAAGAGGAGCGUUCCUACAAACCACAAGAUCACAUGACCAGAGGACAAGCAUGUGUAGAAACACAUUAAAGUCAGCCUGUAAACACGUUUGUGUAAAUUCUAGUCGUGUUUUCCUGUUACUUUCAAAUAAAAGCAGAGAAGGCAGA